UAUCAUCUGUUUCUUAAAUAUUUAUUGAAUUUGACUUUUAAGUGAAAAGGCUUAAAUAAAUCAAAAAGACGAUAAGACCCUAUAAAUCUUUACAAUAAAUAUGUUUUAUAUUUUAAUUUAUAAGUGUAUAAGAAAUAAAAAUAUAGAUUUGUUUCGCUGGGGCGGCGUAGAUAUAUAAAUAAACUGUCUAUAAUUUAAAUACAGUAAUUAUUGCUUAAUAUAAAUUGAUCCUUAAAUAGAUUAAAAGAUUAAGAUACUUUAGGGAUAACAGCGUUAUUUUUUUUAAGAGUUCUUAUCGAAGAAAAAGUUUGCGACCUCGAUGUUGAAUUAAAGUAUCUCUAUGGUGCAGCCGUUAUAAGAGAGAGUCUGUUCGACUUUUAAUACUUUA
This 388-nucleotide ribosomal RNA is filed under the name Lithodes santolla. Its description in RNAcentral is "partial 16S ribosomal RNA". It matches the Rfam family "Bacterial large subunit ribosomal RNA", at positions 2048 to 2598 of the family's 2925-position model. Lineage: Eukaryota; Metazoa; Arthropoda; Malacostraca; Decapoda; Lithodidae. The record is from RNAcentral.